GAUGAAGAACGUAGCGAAAUGCGAUACGUAAUGUGAAUUGCAGAAUUCAGUGAAUCAUCGAAUCUUUGAACGCACAUUGCGCCCGCCAGUAUUCUGGCGGGCAUGCCUGUUCGAGCGUCAUUUCAACCAUCAAGCCCUGCUUGCGUUGGGGUCCUGCGGCUGCCCGCAGGCCCUGAAAACCAGUGGCGGGCUCGCUAGUCACACCGAGCGCAGUAAUACAUCUCGCUUUGGGCGUGCGGCGGGUUCUUGCCGUUAAACACCCCCUUUUUACCAAGGUUGACCUCGGAUCAGGUAGGAAUACCCGCUGAACUUAAGCAUAUCAAUAAGCGGAGGA
This 334-nucleotide unclassified non-coding RNA is filed under the name soil metagenome. RNAcentral describes it as "partial contains 5.8S ribosomal RNA, internal transcribed spacer 2, and large subunit ribosomal RNA". The stretch from base 1 to 120 matches the Rfam family "5.8S ribosomal RNA", at positions 35 to 154 of the family's 154-position model. The record is from RNAcentral.